UUGAGAGUGGCGAACGGGUGCGUAACGCGUAUGCAACCUACCCUAUACAGGGGGAUAGCCCGGAGAAAUCUGGAUUAAUACCCCAUGGUACCAAGUUGAGGCAUUUUGAUUUGGUUAAAGAUUCAUCGGUAUAGGAUGGGCAUGCGUCUGAUUAGCUAGUUGGCGGUGUAACGGACCACCAAGGCGACGAUCAGUAGGGGUUCUGAGAGGAAGGUCCCCCACACUGGCACUGAGAUACGGGCCAGACUCCUACGGGAGGCAGCAGUAGGGAAUAUUGGGCAAUGGACGAGAGUCUGACCCAGCCAUGCCGCGUGCAGGAAGACGGCGUUCUGCGUUGUAAACUGCUUUUAUCUGGGAAGAAAAUGCCCUUGCGAGGGAAAUUGCCGGUACCAGAUGAAUAAGCACCGGCUAACUCCGUGCCAGCAGCCGCGGUAAUACGGAGGGUGCAAGCGUUGUCCGGAUUUAUUGGGUUUAAAGGGUGCGUAGGCGGCUAUUUAAGUCAGUGGUGAAAGACUCCGGCUCAACCGGAGCAGUGCCAUUGAUACUGGAUAGCUUGAGUAUUGGAGGGGUACAUGGAAUUGAUGGUGUAGCGGUGAAAU
Molecule: ribosomal RNA, 599 nt
Filed under: Algoriphagus sp.
Lineage: Bacteria; Pseudomonadati; Bacteroidota; Cytophagia; Cytophagales; Cyclobacteriaceae
Description: bacterial SSU rRNA
Rfam family: Bacterial small subunit ribosomal RNA
Source: RNAcentral